ACAUACGACCAUAGACUGAGGAGAAUUGGGCAUCCCGUCCGCUCUGCCAUACACAAGCCGCAGAUCGGUAGAUUAGUAGUUGGGUGGGUGACCACCAGCGAAUCCCUACUGUUGUAUGUU
Sclerotinia sclerotiorum is the source of this 120-nucleotide ribosomal RNA. NCBI's taxonomy places the organism in Eukaryota, Fungi, Ascomycota, Leotiomycetes, Helotiales, Sclerotiniaceae. The record is from Rfam.